AAUGAGUAUAAGGAUCCUGCAGUAGGCAUUGCAGACCAGUCUGAAGCUUCUUGUGUUCAGGAGCUUUAAUUAGCUUCAGUGGUUGGGAAUAUGCAGGGCAAAAGGUUAAGGCAGAAAAUCAGGCUAAUUACAGGCUGGAGGUCCCAGGAGUUCAGAUCAAGUGAUCUUCCCUGGUCCUAAUCUCUGAGAUGGAAGCAGUUAAUACUACGCUCUCUGUGAGUGCCGCAGGGCUGCUGGCUUUCCAGCCACUCACGAUGAAUUCACCCAGGCUUUUCUGCCCGCGGGGCAGAUUACUGCCACAGACCCGGGUGAGCUGAGUCACAAAUUACAAUUCCCCCUCAGUGCCUUUAGGCUGUGAGAGUUGUAGAUCUGAGGCUUCCUCCAGAGCACCACAGAUCUGCAAUCUAUAAAAUCAGGGGCUCUACAGGCUCCUAUACUGUACCCCAUCUUCUCUCUAAGCAAUUUCCUUUGUAAUAGCUUCUUCCCAUGUGAAAGAUCUCCUGUACCUUUCCCCCCUCUCUGGCUGUUGUUUGUAGCAGGCUGUAUCAUCAGCAUACUGCUAUUUCUAGUAUUAUGUAAAUUAGUGCCCAAAAUAUUGGAAUUAAUGUGUCAUGGGUGAAGUUGCACUAAAGCAAGCAGCUGCAGCACCAAAACAUCCAACUGUCAUAAACCAUCCCCCAAAUCUAUAAAACAAUUAGGUUUAAACAGUGUCUAGAGGGAAGAUUCAAUGUGAGAGGCAUGACUUGUAGUUUUCCGGGAAUUUGAUCAGUUUGUUUCCAGAAUUUUUCUCAGAGAUUCGUAAACUCCUAUGUGGGAGAGGUUAUUUUGUUUAGAGGUACACCUGUGGGUAUAAUGAAAGUGACCCACCACGUUGGAAUAGAGGACAUUUGUAUCGUCACGUGCCUCAACAGUAUGAGCUGGUCUGGGGAAGCAGUCAGCCCUGCCCUUCAAACUGCGAUUGCAUCCAUGUGUGCUGCACAGGUUUUUUGUUCACUGGGUGAUCUUGAACUGGCCUUGCUAAAAGCUUCCCUGACAUUUCCAAAGGAGAUAAAUCUACCUAAAACCCUGGGAAGCAGAAGUGCUCCUCUGUUUGAAGGCAGUGAAUGA
Molecule: long non-coding RNA, 1107 nt
Filed under: Anser cygnoides (Swan goose)
Lineage: Eukaryota; Metazoa; Chordata; Aves; Anseriformes; Anatidae
Description: lncRNA (ENSACDG00005014673.1)
Source: RNAcentral